Vespula pensylvanica (western yellowjacket) is the source of this 492-nucleotide long non-coding RNA. RefSeq lists it as uncharacterized. The record is from RefSeq and is a predicted model, not a curated record. The transcript is spliced from 3 exons. Lineage: Eukaryota; Metazoa; Arthropoda; Insecta; Hymenoptera; Vespidae.
UAUGUAUAUAUAUAUAUAUGUAUAUAUGAGAGCGAAUUAUAUGUUAAUUAAAACGUCAUGCUAAAUUGCAAUAAUCAAGAUGUGUAAUUAUGUCGACUUUUGGCUCGAUGAACAGGACUUUACGAGAACGGCUAGUGUACAUUGAUAAUGUUUAGUUUAUCGAUCGAUCUAUCGAUCAUCAGGACGAGUUAUAACGUGAUCGAAUGACGAACGUAUAGCCUUUGUUGUUUUAUCGUCAACGACAUUUGUGUGAUUUUUUCUUGUGUAUCAUUGAUUCGAGGAACAUGUGUCGCGUGUGAUAUGUUUACCCUAGUUAUUUAAUUUAACGUCAUUCAGUGAUGUAUCGAAGGAUUCAAGGAUCAUCGAGGGAAUGAACUUGACUUAUCUCGACUUGUCUCGAUCCAGCUUCGGCAAAAGAAUGAGUGGAAGCAGCGACGAAGGCGAGUCGAUAUCAGGAACGACAACGGGAAGUACCACAGGAGGAGGUGGUGG